Regulatory RNA element from Photobacterium profundum SS9, 433 nucleotides. It matches the Rfam family "cspA thermoregulator". The record is from Rfam. Lineage: Bacteria; Pseudomonadati; Pseudomonadota; Gammaproteobacteria; Vibrionales; Vibrionaceae.
CUCAGUUCUUCAGAGAGUUAUUACAUGCAGCAUCAAGUACAAGUUAAACCUACAGCUACAAAAACAUUAUCGUUAUGUACCUAUAUGUUUCCUUUUAUUUAGCGUAAUAGUGUAUAAUUCAACAGAUUAUCACGUCGCAUCUGCGACAUUUAAAUAUUAAAUAAGGGACACACAUGUCUAACACAACUGGUAUCGUCAAGUGGUUUAACGAAGAGAAAGGUUUCGGUUUCAUCACUCAAGACAACGGCGGCGCUGACGUAUUCGUACAUUUCCGUGCAAUCGCUUCAGAAGGCUUUAAAACGCUUGCUGAAGGUCAAAAAGUUUCUUUUGAAGUAGAGCAAGGCCAAAAAGGUCUUCAAGCUGCAAACGUUGUAGCUAUAUAAUUCUUUAAUAAAAAGAAAUGAUAGAAGGUCGCCUUGGCGGCCUUUUUUGU